This 443-nucleotide long non-coding RNA is filed under the name Bemisia tabaci. RNAcentral's name for it is "lncRNA ENSASIAIIG003407". Lineage: Eukaryota; Metazoa; Arthropoda; Insecta; Hemiptera; Aleyrodidae. The record is from RNAcentral.
GAAAUUUUGGAUCGCCGACUGUUGAGGCUCACUGUUGGCAAAUUCAGAGUGGUUAAUUUUCAAUUUUUGCAAUAUUAUUACCAAACAAAAUACUGCAGUUUUUCGUGUUUGAUUUUUGAAAGAAUAUUGCACCUAAAAAAUAGAUCAUUGUAUAAAAUAGGCGAAAUAAAAUUUGUACGUGUCGGUGAAAUGGAGUUUGAUGUCAAAGACUUCCUAUCGAGUAAGUUUACUUAAGUGCAUCUAGAACAUGUAAGUAUGUGAGUGCUACAACUAUUUUUGUGAAUCCAUGGCUUGAUGAAGAUGUCCUACCAAAGCUGCACCAGCUAUUAUUAUACAAACUUACGGCAAGGUAAAAUCUUUUGUUUAAAUUUUCACAAUUUCCUGUCCCUAUGAAGUGCAUAAUUUUUUAAUUAUUUGAAAAUUUUCUAAUUUCUAAUACACCU